GAGGAGGAGACUGCCAGGAAGAAGUUCCUGGAGGCCUGGAGUAUGGCACGGGACUGUUAAUGCGGUUCCCUCCAAGGCCUUAUGCUGUCGACACCCUCCGUUACUCACUUCUUUCAAAGCUUCCGAAAAAGGCUUAUUCAAGUAUCAGGAUAUUAUUUUGAAAUCUUACCCAAUGUGGCUUUUGUUACUAGCACUUCCUGCUUUCUGACCUUCACUCUUUCCCCAUCCCCCGUUUUCUCAGCUACAGCAUUUGACUAGAAGAAGGAUGUUAGACCAGAACACACAGACCAGAUUCUUGGCUUUUGACUUUUUUAAACUAUUAGGAUUCCAGGCAUAAAUUACAGAUUUAAGAGUGGCACAGAUGUGUCAGUGACAGCCAGCAGACCUGGGGAGGACUUGCAGUGAGGAAGAGGAAAUCUCACCACCCUCAACUUGCAUAGAGUGCUGUAACAAAGGACAUCUCAACAAAUACCAGUGUGAAGAAGUGAGAAGGAUCAAGAAUCAGACAAGAUGAACUGUUAAGCAAAGGCCAAUGAUACGGUCUCCAUCUGUGUCCCUGCCCAAAUCUCAUGUUGAGUUGUAAUCCCCAAUGUUGGAGGAGGGGGCUGGUGGGAAGUGAUUGGAUCCUGGGGGCAGAUCUCCCUCUUGCUGUUCUCGUAAUAGUGAGUGAAUUCUCACGAGAUCUGGUUGUUUAGAAGUGUGUAGCACCGGCCGGGCACAGUGGCUC
This 727-nucleotide long non-coding RNA is filed under the name Homo sapiens (human). RNAcentral's name for it is "HSALNT0086264". Lineage: Eukaryota; Metazoa; Chordata; Mammalia; Primates; Hominidae. The record is from RNAcentral.